Molecule: long non-coding RNA, 1741 nt
Filed under: Carica papaya (papaya)
Lineage: Eukaryota; Viridiplantae; Streptophyta; Magnoliopsida; Brassicales; Caricaceae
Description: long non-coding RNA (CPAP_LNC004882)
Source: RNAcentral
ACACCAUAUAACAAAAAAGUCAAGCUUACCAUGAUCAUGAGUUAGUCAGUACCACUAUAAUCAUAAUUGUGAAUUCUCCGUUUUCUUAAUCAUUUUGGUAAUUGGGAGAAAACAAUCUGUAACUUGAUUCUUAUUUGAAAAUUGUAACUUUAGGACUAAACUCUCAUAGGGAAAAAAGUGAGGUGAAUAACUCAGCUACCAGUUCUUUAACGACAAAUGGCUGGAUGCUUUAGAUGAUUCUGCCACAUUUAUCUCAUCCUCCAUUGCCAUUUUGAACUCUUUUUCUUCCUUAAAUCAUAUACCAGUGAGGUGAGUAACUCAGCUACCAGUUCUUUAACGGCAACUGGCUGGAUGCUUUAGAUGAUUCUGCCACAUUUAUCUCAUCCUCCAUUGCCAUUUUGAACUCUUUUUCUUCCUUAAAUCAUAUAGUCCAUGCCUGUAAUGGCUUUUUGCUGGUUAAAUUUGAUCAUCUCUGCUGCUGAAUGAGUUUUCCCCUGUUGAAAUACAUAUGUAGAAAAAUAUCGGAGAAUUCCUAUUCAAUUUUGACCUUGCCCCGAGAAGCUUGGUCUCCUUUCUUCACAUAUUUCUGUUAAAUGGAUUUUUUGAUGAAAUAUAUUAUGCAUUUUCAGAAAAAAGAUUAAAAAUGUUAUGGACUUGAAAAUCAAGGUGGCAGAAUUUAUUCUCGUUGGUUAGAAUUGUUACAUGGGAAGGCAUAUUACCUAAUACAGCCUUGGCUUUUGGCCAAAUUUCGCGUGUAACAUUUGCUUGCUGGUCAAUUUAGAGGUUUAGAAUAUCCAGCUUCUGCAAAUUGGAAUGUUCUGACUAUGGUUAAUUUUCUAUCGGCAGUUUGGUCGAGGUGACCAUGGACGCCUUGGAUAUGGGAGGAAGGUGACUACGGGUCAACCAAUGGAGGUGCCCAUAAAUAUCCCACCACCUAUGAGUGUUGGUGACAGUGGAGAUGAUAACCGCUGGAUUGCAAAACUUGUUGCCUGCGGUGGUCGCCACACUUUGGCGGUUGUAGAAUGGAAGAGAGACUAAUUUAAGCAGUUGUCAAGUAAAUGUAUAAAAAAUGUCUAGUAUAAACCCUAGUUUUGCUUGUUUACUUCUGAGAAAAAUGAAUAUUGAGGUAAAGAAGUUAAUAUAGAACGGACAACCUGUUUGUGUCAUUUGGGUAAGUUGGUUUUGUAUUUUCUUGCGAAUGACUUUUUGUCUUUUAAUGAUUUAUAAAUGCACUUCUUAUGCCAAACGCAAAAGCACACUGUACAUCUCUCAAAAUUCGGAGUUUUUAUUCUUAAACUCCUAGAUAGCUUUUGUGUAAGAUGAUUAUUGUGGAUAUAGCCUACCAUAUAAGAUGAUUAUUGUGGAAUGUUGAGAAGCUAUUCAAUUCUCAGAGAAUACUCAAAAGACAAAAUUUUGCCUGAUGAUUUGAUUAGUAAGGUUGUGAUAGCAAUUGAAACACAUUUAAGUAAAUAUUUUAGAAUACUUGUGUUAUCAAGAUACUGACCUGCACCACUUGAACAAGUUUGAUUGAAAUGGGUGAACAUCCAAUCAAGUUGUUUAUUCAAAAGAACAACUAGUAACUGGAGAUGAUAAGUUUUUCUGUACAAGUAUAUUAGUAGACAAGACAAUGGAUCCAGCAACUAGAAAAUUCACUCCAUGAUGGUAUAGUUGGACUCUGCGCUAUGAUUCAUGUAGGGCUGAAGCAGAGGAAUCCCAGCUGAUAAAGCUGUAAAAAAUUAAA